This 484-nucleotide ribosomal RNA is filed under the name uncultured bacterium. RNAcentral describes it as "partial 16S ribosomal RNA". It matches the Rfam family "Bacterial small subunit ribosomal RNA", at positions 30 to 507 of the family's 1533-position model. The record is from RNAcentral.
AUUGAACGCUGGCGGCAGGCCUAACACAUGCAAGUCGAGCGGAUGAAGGGAGCUUGCUCCUGGAUUCAGCGGCGCACGGGUGAGUAAUGCCUAGGAAUCUGCCUGGUAGUGGGGGAUAACGUCCGGAAACGGGCGCUAAUACUGCCUACGUCCUGAGGGAGCAAGUGGGGGAUCUUCGGACCUCACGCUAUCAGAUGAGCCUAGGUCGGAUUAGCUAGUUGGUGGGGUAAAGGCCUACCAAGGCGACGAUCCGUAACUGGUCUGAGAGGAUGAUCAGUCACACUGGAACUGAGACACGGUCCAGACUCCUACGGGAGGCAGCAGUGGGGAAUAUUGGACAAUGGGCGAAAGCCUGAUCCAGCCAUGCCGCGUGUGUGAAGAAGGUCUUCGGAUUGUAAAGCACUUUAAGUUGGGAGGAAGGGCAGUAAGUUAAUACCUUGCUGUUUUGACGUUACCAACAGAAUAAGCACCGGCUAACUUCGUG